RNAcentral lists this ribosomal RNA (492 nucleotides) under uncultured bacterium. RNAcentral describes it as "partial 16S ribosomal RNA". It matches the Rfam family "Bacterial small subunit ribosomal RNA", at positions 29 to 507 of the family's 1533-position model. The record is from RNAcentral.
AGUGAACGCUGGCGGUAGGCCUAACACAUGCAAGUCGAACGGCAGCACAGUAAGAGCUUGCUCUUACGGGUGGCGAGUGGCGGACGGGUGAGGAAUACAUCGGAAUCUACUUUUUCGUGGGGGAUAACGUAGGGAAACUUACGCUAAUACCGCAUGCGACCUACGGGUGAAAGCAGGGGAUCUUCGGACCUUGCGCGAUUGAAUGAGACGAUGUCGGAUUAGCUAGUUGGCGGGGUAAAGGCCCACCAAGGCAACGAUCCGUAGCUGGUCUGAGAGGAUGAUCAGCCACACUGGAACUGAGACACGGUCCAGACUCCUACGGGAGGCAGCAGUGGGGAAUAUUGGACAAUGGGCGCAAGCCUGAUCCAGCCAUGCCGCGUGGGUGAAGAAGGCCUUCGGGUUGUAAAGCCCUGUUGUUGGGAAAGAAAAGCAGCAGAAGAAUACCCCGCUGUUCUGACGGUACCCAAAGAAUAAGCACCGGCUAACUUCGUG